GUGUGCGCCUUGUGCAUUUCUGUGUUUGUGUGAUCAAGCUUUAAUGAAACAGAGUGGCUCUGAAGCUGGUGGCAGGCUCGUGCCCUUGGCUCCCAGGGCCUACCUCUGAGUACUCACUGCCUCAGAGCCUCCGGUCGGUCUUAGGGGUUGGGAUAGGUAAAGGGGCAGCCAUGGAAGAGUCCUGUGUGAAUGUGUGUGGGUGCCUGUAAAGGUGCCUACAGCUGCCCAGAUAGGAAGGAGACACAGGCCCAGAGAGGUGACAUCUCCGGCCUGAGUUCGCACAGAAGUCACUAAAGGGGCCAGAGCUGGAUCCUUGGGUCACCUGGGUCCCUGAACCGUGCUCUGUCCUGCCAUCUCCCCCUGUCAGGGCUUCUGGCCCUGUGGCUCUAUCAUCCGUUAAUCAGUGGUGAUACCCGGGUCCAGCUCCUCCCUCACACCAGGACAGGCAAGGACACUGGGCAAGUCUGUCCACCAGAGGCAGGAGGGGCUGUGACAUGUCAAUGGGCCCCUCCUCCAAGGCAAAGU
Long non-coding RNA from Bos taurus (domestic cattle), 525 nucleotides. Lineage: Eukaryota; Metazoa; Chordata; Mammalia; Artiodactyla; Bovidae. The record is from Ensembl.